UACGAAGGACCCGAGCGUUAUCCGGAUUUAUUGGGUUUAAAGGGUGCGUAGGCGGAUUAGUAAGUCAGUGGUGAAAGCCCAUCGCUUAACGGUGGAACUGCCAUUGAUACUGCUAGUCUUGAGUAUGGUUGAGGUGGGCGGAAUGUGUCAUGUAGCGGUGAAAUGCUUAGAUAUGACCCAGAACACCAAUUGCGAAGGCAGCUCGCUAAACCAUAACUGACGCUGAGGCACGAAAGCGUGGGGAGCAAACAGG
RNAcentral lists this ribosomal RNA (253 nucleotides) under uncultured bacterium. Its description in RNAcentral is "partial 16S ribosomal RNA". It matches the Rfam family "Bacterial small subunit ribosomal RNA", at positions 524 to 776 of the family's 1533-position model. The record is from RNAcentral.